GAUGAGCUCGCGUCUGAUUAGCUAGUUGGUGUGGUAAGAGCCUACCCAGGCGACGAUCAGUAGCUGGUCUGAGAGGAUGAUCAGCCACACUGGGACUGAGACACGGCCCANACUCCUACGGGAGGCAGCAGUGGGGAAUUUUCCGCACUGGGCGAAAGCCUGACGGAGCAAUACCGCGUGNGGGAGGAAGGCUCUUGGGUUGUAAACCUCUUUUCUCUCGGAAGAANAUUNUGACGGUACCUGGGGAAUAANCCUCGGGUAACUCCGUGCCAGCAGCCGCGGUUAUACGGAGGAUGCAAGCGUUUUCCGGAAAUAUUGGGCGUAAAGC
Molecule: ribosomal RNA, 328 nt
Filed under: uncultured Anabaena sp.
Lineage: Bacteria; Bacillati; Cyanobacteriota; Cyanophyceae; Nostocales; Nostocaceae
Description: bacterial SSU rRNA
Rfam family: Bacterial small subunit ribosomal RNA
Source: RNAcentral